Molecule: ribosomal RNA, 1261 nt
Filed under: Agromyces sp. IY07-4
Lineage: Bacteria; Bacillati; Actinomycetota; Actinomycetes; Micrococcales; Microbacteriaceae
Description: bacterial SSU rRNA
Rfam family: Bacterial small subunit ribosomal RNA
Source: RNAcentral
GUGGGGUGGAAAGUUUUUUCGGUUUGGGAUGGACUCUCGGCCUAUCAGCUUGGUGGUGAGGUAAUGGCUCGCCAAGGCGUCGACGGGUAGCCGGACUGAGACGGUGACCGGCCACACUGGGACUGAGACACGGCCCCUACUCCUACCGGAGGAGGGAAAGGGUAAUAUUGCACAAUGGGCCCAAGCCUGAUGCACCAACGCCGCGAGCAGGAUCACCGCCUUCGGGUUGUAAACCGCUUUUAAUAAAGAAGAAGGGGAGCUUGCUCCUUGACGGUACUUGCAGAAGAAGCACCGGCUAACUACGUGCCAGCAGCCGCGGUAAUACGUAGGGUCCGAGCGUUGUCCGGAAUUAUUGGGCGUAAAGAGCUCGUAGGCGGUUUGUCGCGUCUGCUGUGAAAUCCCGAGGCUCAACCUCGGGUCUGCAGUGGAUACGGGCAGACUGGAGUGCGGUAGGGGAGAAUGGAAUUCCUGGUGUAGCGGUGGAAUGCGCAGAUAUCAGGAGGAACACCGAUGGCGAAGGCAGUUCUCUGGGCCGUAACUGACGCUGAGGAGCGAAAGCGUGGGGAGCGAACAGGAUUAGAUACCCUGGUAGUCCACGCCGUAAACGUUGGGCGCUAUAUGUGGGGACCUUUCCACGGUUUCCGUGUCGUAGCUAACGCAUUAAGCGCCCCGCCUGGGGAGUACGGCCGCAAGGCUAAAACUCAAAGGAAUUGACGGGGGCCCGCACAAGCGGCGGAGCAUGCGGAUUAAUUCGAUGCAACGCGAAGAACCUUACCAAGGCUUGACAUAUACCAGAACGCUGCAGAAAUGUAGAACUCUUUGGACACUCGUAUACAGGUGGUGCAUGGUUGUCGUCAGCUCGUGUCGUGAGAUGUUGGGUUAAGUCCCGCAACGAGCGCAACCCUCGUCGCAUGUUGCCAGCACGUCAUGGUGGGAACUCAUGUGAGACUGCCGGGGUCAACUCGGAGGAAGGGGGGGAUGACGUCAAAUCAUCAUGCCCCUUAUGUCUUGGGCUUCACGCAUGCUACAAUGGCCGGUACAAAGGGCUGCGAUGUCGUAAGGCGGAGCGAAUCCCAAAAAGCCGGUCUCAGUUCGGAUUGAGGUCUGCAACUCGACCUCAUGAAGUCGGAGUCGCUAGUAAUCGCAGAUCAGCAACGCUGCGGUGAAUACGUUCCCGGGCCUUGUACACACCGCCCGUCCAGUCAUGAAAGUCGGUAACACCCGAACCCGGUGGCCUAACCCUUGUGGAGGGAGCCGUCGA